Molecule: ribosomal RNA, 258 nt
Filed under: uncultured bacterium
Lineage: Bacteria
Description: partial 16S ribosomal RNA
Rfam family: Bacterial small subunit ribosomal RNA
Source: RNAcentral
UACGAAGGGGGGCUAGCGUUGCUCGGAAUCACUGGGCGUAAAGGGUGCGUAGGCGGGUCUUUAAGUCAGGGGGUGAAAUCCUGGAGCUCAACUCCCAGAACUGCCUUUGAUACUGGCGACCUUGAGUCCCGGGGAGAGUGAGUGGAACUGCGAGUGUAGAGGUGAAAUUCGUAGAUAUUCGCAAGAACACCAGUGGCGAAGGCGGCUCACUGGCCCCGGUACUGACGCUGAGGUGCGAAAGCGUGGGGAGCAAACAGG